CCUACGGGAGGCAGCAGUGAGGAAUAUUGGACAAUGGGCGCAAGCCUGAUCCAGCCAUGCCGCGUGCAGGAUGACGGUCCUAUGGAUUGUAAACUGCUUUUGCACAGGAAGAAACAACGCUACGUGUAGCGUCUUGACGGUACUGUGAGAAUAAGGAUCGGCUAACUCCGUGCCAGCAGCCGCGGUAAUACGGAGGAUCCAAGCGUUAUCCGGAAUCAUUGGGUUUAAAGGGUCCGUAGGCGGUUUAGUAAGUCAGUGGUGAAAGCCCAUCGCUCAACGGUGGAACGGCCAUUGAUACUGCUAGACUUGAAUUAUUAGGAAGUAACUAGAAUAUGUAGUGUAGCGGUGAAAUGUUUAGAGAUUACAUGGAAUACCAAUUGCGAAGGCAGGUUACUACUAAUUGAUUGACGCUGAUGGACGAAAGCGUGGGUAGCGAACAGGAUUAGAUACCCUGGUAGUCCACGCCGUAAACGAUGGAUACUAGCUGUUGGGAGCAAUUUCAGUGGCUAAGCGAAAGUGAUAAGUAUCCCACCUGGGGAGUACGUUCGCAAGAAUGAAACUCAAAUGAAAUUGACGG
This 577-nucleotide ribosomal RNA is filed under the name uncultured bacterium. RNAcentral describes it as "bacterial SSU rRNA". It matches the Rfam family "Bacterial small subunit ribosomal RNA", at positions 338 to 916 of the family's 1533-position model. The record is from RNAcentral.